UUCAAUUAAUGGUUCUCCCUCACAAAAAUGAGAACGUUGAGGUCUCUGCUUCACCACCAAUGCCACCUUCAUCUAUUCCAAGCGCGUCACCGUCGACGCCACCUUCAUAACCAUCUCUGCUUCAAGAUCAUUGAGGUCUCUGCCAAGCACGUCAAUGUCCAUCUCAAGAUCACCGACUCCUACUGCUAGCUAUUGAAGGUCUUACACUACAAUGUGUCAGUGUUGUUCUCAAAGGCUCUGGCCGACAUUAGGGCACAAAUUUGUUCGGGGUUUUGACAUAACAGUGACGAUCGCAAGAAUCCAGCUAAAGCCACGCCGGUUCAUCCUAGAAAGACUAUCCAAGCAAUAAGGGAUGGUGAUGAUGAUGUUAUAGCUGUUGGUGGUGAUGGUACUCUUCAUGAGGUUAGAUGGCAGGUGGCCUGGGUAAUUUUGUAGAUGGCUCUGCAGUUCUUACUCAAAGGAUUGAGAUGAAACCCGGUUUUACAGGAAGACUUUACUAAAUGUUGCAUCCAUUCGCAACUGAGUUCCUUUAUAGAGAGCAAGAAUUCCACAGGACAUGAGUUCUAGGGUACAAAGGUGAGAUGAUAUAUGGGUGGCAAUGCUGUUGAGUGUGUAUCUUUAUUGUGUUCUCUUCGAAUCAUAUUUGUAUCAAUUCCUUUGGACAUAUAUUGUCUUGACAAGCUUGUGCCAAUUACACUUUUACCCAUUUCUGUGGUGGUAUUUUAUUAUUCUCCUGUAGAACUACGACUGGAAAUUUGUUUCCCUAAAAUGUGCAUGGAGCACAAAACAUAUUGAUCAAGAAUUGCUUAAUAUCUUCUAUUGUACAUAGGCAUGUUAGUAAUUUUCAAGUAGUCUUAACUUGCAUCUUUUCCUGUGCUAGUUGAUGCAGCUGUUAUUAGA
Dioscorea cayenensis subsp. rotundata (Guinea yam) is the source of this 900-nucleotide long non-coding RNA. RefSeq lists it as uncharacterized. The transcript is spliced from 6 exons. The record is from RefSeq and is a predicted model, not a curated record. Lineage: Eukaryota; Viridiplantae; Streptophyta; Magnoliopsida; Dioscoreales; Dioscoreaceae.